RNAcentral lists this unclassified non-coding RNA (234 nucleotides) under Hevea brasiliensis (rubber tree). Lineage: Eukaryota; Viridiplantae; Streptophyta; Magnoliopsida; Malpighiales; Euphorbiaceae. The record is from RNAcentral.
AAUAUAUAUAUAUAUAUUUUUAAAAAGAGUGAGUGUUUUUGUGCAGAGAAGAUUCCUUUCCUUUCCUUUUUAUCGCCAAUGAUGAUAGUUCUUCCUGUUGGCCUUUUGGUUUAGCUUCUAACACGAUCUCCUACAUUUCCGUGAAAAAGGUUAAACUUUGUCACUUUGUGACAUCAUUUUUUAACCACUCUCCUUCAACCUGACAUCAGUUUUAUUUUUAUUUUUCUUUUUCUU